Sciurus carolinensis (gray squirrel) is the source of this 76-nucleotide small nucleolar RNA. RefSeq annotates it as small nucleolar RNA SNORD115. The record is from RefSeq and is a predicted model, not a curated record. NCBI's taxonomy places the organism in Eukaryota, Metazoa, Chordata, Mammalia, Rodentia, Sciuridae. The transcript has a single exon.
GGAUAUAUGUGUAGAAAGUAUCUUAAGGAGAUAUGACAAUGUAAAAAUCAAGCUCAAUGGGAUUAUGCUGAGGCUC